GAGUCUUAAUUGGGCGUUAAGUUGCAGGGUAUAGACCCGAAACCCGGUGAUCUAGCCAUGGGCAGGUUGAAGGUUGGGUAACACUAACUGGAGGACCGAACCGACUAAUGUUGAAAAAUUAGCGGAUGACCUGUGGCUGGGGGUGAAAGGCCAAUCAAACCGGGAGAUAGCUGGUUCUCCCCGAAAGCUAUUUAGGUAGCGCCUCGUGAAUUCAUCUCCGGGGGUAGAGCACUGUUUCGGCUAGGGGGCCAUCCCGGCUUACCAACCCGAUGCAAACUGCGAAUACCGGAGAAUGUUAUCACGGGAGACACACGGCGGGUGCUAACGUCCGUCGUGAAGAGGGAAACAACCCAGACCGCCAGCUAAGGUCCCAAAGUCAUGGUUAAGUGGGAAACGAUGUGGGAAGGCCCAGACAGCCAGGAUGUUGGCUUAGAAGCAGCCAUCAUUUAAAGAAAGCGUAAUAGCUCACUGGUCGAGUCGGCCUGCGCGGAAGAUGUAACGGGGCUAAACCAUGCACCGAAGCUGCGGCAGCGACGCUGAUGCGUUGUUGGGUAGGGGAGCGUUCUGUAAGCCUGCGAAGGUGGCCUGUGAGGGUUGCUGGAGGUAUCAGAAGUGCGAAUGCUGACAUAAGUAACGAUAAAGCGGGUGAAAAGCCCGCUCGCCGGAAGACCAAGGGUUCCUGUCCAACGUUAAUCGGGGCAGGGUGAGUCGACCCCUAAGGCGAGGCCGAAAGGCGUAGUCGAUGGGAAACGGGUUAAUAUUCCCGUACUUGGUGUUACUGCGAAGGGGGGACGGAGAAGGCUAUGUUGGCCGGGCGACGGUUGUCCCGGUUUAAGCGUGUAGGUGUGUGUUCCAGGUAAAUCCGGUUCACUUUAACACUGAGGCGUGAUGACGAGGCACUACGGUGCUGAAGCAACAAAUGCCCUGCUUCCAGGAAAAGCCUCUAAGCAUCAGGUAACAUCAAAUCGUACCCCAAACCGACACAGGUGGUCAGGUAGAGAAUACCAAGGCGCUUGAGAGAACUCGGGUGAAGGAACUAGGCAAAAUGGUGCCGUAACUUCGGGAGAAGGCACGCUGACACGUAGGUGAAGUGAUUUACUCAUGGAGCUGAAGUCAGUCGAAGAUACCAGCUGGCUGCAACUGUUUAUUAAAAACACAGCACUGUGCAAACACGAAAGUGGACGUAUACGGUGUGACGCCUGCCCGGUGCCGGAAGGUUAAUUGAUGGGGUCAGCGCAAGCGAAGCUCCUGAUCGAAGCCCCGGUAAACGGCGGCCGUAACUAUAACGGUCCUAAGGUAGCGAAAUUCCUUGUCGGGUAAGUUCCGACCUGCACGAAUGGCGUAAUGAUGGCCAGGCUGUCUCCACCCGAGACUCAGUGAAAUUGAACUCGCUGUGAAGAUGCAGUGUACCCGCGGCAAGACGGAAAGACCCCGUGAACCUUUACUAUAGCUUGACACUGAACAUUGAGCCUUGAUGUGUAGGAUAGGUGGGAGGCUUUGAAGUGUGGACGCCAGUCUGCAUGGAGCCGGCCUUGAAAUACCACCCUUUAAUGUUUGAUGUUCUAACGUGGACCCGUGAUCCGGGUUGCGGACAGUGUCUGGUGGGUAGUUUGACUGGGGCGGUCUCCUCCUAAAGAGUAACGGAGGAGCACGAAGGUUGGCUAAUCCUGGUCGGACAUCAGGAGGUUAGUGCAAUGGCAUAAGCCAGCUUGACUGCGAGCGUGACGGCGCGAGCAGGUGCGAAAGCAGGUCAUAGUGAUCCGGUGGUUCUGAAUGGAAGGGCCAUCGCUCAACGGAUAAAAGGUACUCCGGGGAUAACAGGCUGAUACCGCCCAAGAGUUCAUAUCGACGGCGGUGUUUGGCACCUCGAUGUCGGCUCAUCACAUCCUGGGGCUGAAGUAGGUCCCAAGGGUAUGGCUGUUCGCCAUUUAAAGUGGUACGCGAGCUGGGUUUAGAACGUCGUGAGACAGUUCGGUCCCUAUCUGCCGUGGGCGCUGGAGAACUGAGGGGGGCUGCUCCUAGUACGAGAGGACCGGAGUGGACGCAUCACUGGUGUUCGGGUUGUCAUGCCAAUGGCACUGCCCGGUAGCUAAAUGCGGAAGAGAUAAGUGCUGAAAGCAUCUAAGCACGAAACUUGCCCCGA
This 2143-nucleotide ribosomal RNA is filed under the name Salmonella enterica subsp. enterica serovar Bredeney. RNAcentral's name for it is "partial 23S ribosomal RNA". It matches the Rfam family "Bacterial large subunit ribosomal RNA", at positions 679 to 2802 of the family's 2925-position model. Lineage: Bacteria; Pseudomonadati; Pseudomonadota; Gammaproteobacteria; Enterobacterales; Enterobacteriaceae. The record is from RNAcentral.